Molecule: non-coding RNA, 1025 nt
Organism: Manis javanica (Malayan pangolin)
Lineage: Eukaryota; Metazoa; Chordata; Mammalia; Pholidota; Manidae
Source: RefSeq, a predicted model, not a curated record
UCGGGACAAGAUGACUCAUGCUGACUCACAGCCUCCACUUCCUCUCCCGACAUUCUCUUCAUGCUUGUGAGCUGGGCUGGUCCCGUUCCCAGGGUCUCUGCAGCCUUCCUGACCCUGGCCAAGAGACCCACACCCUGACCUCAGUGUAGCCCCGGGGGCGCCCCCCCAGGGGACGUGCUUUAUUUAGGAGAGCUGAGAACCGUGGAAAAAUAAAAUGUAGGAACCUCAUGUGCAUCUGAGUCUCCAACAGACACUGGAAUUUUGACAAGUAUUACUUCAAGAGUAUCCCAGAUUUGAAUAUUAAAGUGCCAAGGAAUGAAGAGAAGGUGAUUUCAUCUGCUGAUUACCUAACUGACUAGCACCGCCAGUGUCUGCUCUGAACAUUCAUCUUAUUCAUAGGGAGAGAACACGUAUUAACCAAGAGAGCAGCUGCUGGUGGGGAGACUAAUUUCUGUACCCAACGUUACAUCAAUGACGUUAUUUUAUUCAAUGUUUUCUUUUAUGGUGCUUUUGGAAUCCUCAUUAAGAAAUCUGCUUUGCCAAGCCCAUGAAGAUAUUCUCCAAUGUUUUCUUCUUUUAGAUCUUUUUGUUUAAUUUUUUCUACUUUCACAUUAAAGUCUGCCACCCAUCUGGAACUGAUUUUUAGCAACAUUAUUGUAUUAAAUAUUAAUUUGAUGUUUGUAUACAAUUUUAAUGUUUACUUGGUAGCAUUUGUCACAUUUUUGUUUUUAAAUGAGAAACAAAGAAUUUAAAAAGUACUAUUUCCUGGGUGGAAAAAACAUUAUAAAUCCUAAAAUUUUAACAUUGUUCUAUUUUAACUUGAGGAGAGUUGGAAUAUCAGAAACCGUGGUUUCCAUUUUGUAAGGGCAAAAAAAAAAAAAUCAAUUUGCCGUAAGUAUUCAUUAUAAACUCAGAGAAAGAAUGUUUAUAUGUAGUAAAUGAAUCGUGAUGACUAAGAUACUCAGACUGUUUUAAAGAAAGAUUCAUUCACUCAUUCAACAACACUUUACUGAUAUUUAUGUUAU